CAGGAAAAAGAGAGAGACAAGUUCUAGUCUUAAUCAGCCUUCCAUCACUGAGGAAGCAGAGGAGAGGGGAAUAAUCUCCUACAGAGAGUACGGCAAUGUAAAUUAACCUGAAACACGUCAGCAUUCAGCGAGGAGUUUGGAAACUAUGAUGAUCUAAUAGCCUAAAGACAGAGUCUAGGAAAUUAACCCAAGGACAUGCAAGGGAAGAGAAGAGGACUGAGGGGAGAGGCUGCAGAUUGGCAAAAGAAAAGGAGUGAGAAAAAAAGCAUCAUGCAAACCUUACACACAAGGGGCCAGGUUUAUUGCUUGGAAGAGAAAACACCUCUUGCCUAGUGCAGCAUAUGGCCAACAAGAAUCAUGGCAGCAUCUGAGAAUGCAGCAAGCCUUGAAGCAAACUGAAUCGGG
Chelonia mydas (Green sea turtle) is the source of this 405-nucleotide long non-coding RNA. RefSeq lists it as uncharacterized. The transcript has 4 exons. The record is from RefSeq and is a predicted model, not a curated record. NCBI's taxonomy places the organism in Eukaryota, Metazoa, Chordata, Testudines, Cheloniidae.